Molecule: transfer RNA, 76 nt
Filed under: Bacillota bacterium
Lineage: Bacteria; Bacillati; Bacillota
Description: tRNA-Trp
Rfam family: tRNA
About the family: Transfer RNA (tRNA) molecules are approximately 80 nucleotides in length. Their secondary structure includes four short double-helical elements and three loops (D, anti-codon, and T loops).
Source: RNAcentral
AGGGGAGUAGCUCAAUUGGUAGAGCGUCGGUCUCCAAAACCGGUGGCUGCGGGUUCAAGUCCUGUCUCCCCUGCCA